AGCAGCCGCGGUAAUUCCAGCUCCAAUAGCGUAUAUUAAAGUUGUUGCAGUUAAAAGCUCGUAGUUGAAUUUCGGGAUUUACGUGAUGGUCAUGCCUUAAGGGGUAUGAACUGUCACUGUUGAUUUCUCACCUUCUGGGGAAACUUGAUGUCCUUUAUUGGGUGUCUUGCGGAUCCAGGACCUUUACCUUGAAAAAUUAGAGUGUUUAAAGCAGGCAUUUUUGCUCGAAUACAUUAGCAUGGAAUAAUAGAAUAGGACGGCAUGGUUCUAUUUUGUUGGUUUCUAGGAUCACCGUAAUGAUUAAUAGGGAUAGUUGGGGGCAUUAGUAUUCAAUUGUCAGAGGUGAAAUUCUUGGAUUUAUUGAAGACUAACUACUGCGAAAGCAUUUGCCAAGGAUGUUUUCAUUAAUCAAGAACGAAAGUUAGGGGAUCGAAGACGAUCAGAUACCGUCGUAGUCUUAACCAUAAACUAUGCCGACUAGGAAUCAGACGAUGUUAAUUUUUAAUGACUCG
RNAcentral lists this ribosomal RNA (512 nucleotides) under uncultured Entrophosporaceae. Its description in RNAcentral is "SSU rRNA". It matches the Rfam family "Eukaryotic small subunit ribosomal RNA", at positions 569 to 1078 of the family's 1831-position model. The record is from RNAcentral. Lineage: Eukaryota; Fungi; Glomeromycota; Glomeromycetes; Entrophosporales; Entrophosporaceae.